This 270-nucleotide ribosomal RNA is filed under the name uncultured archaeon. Its description in RNAcentral is "partial 16S ribosomal RNA". It matches the Rfam family "Archaeal small subunit ribosomal RNA", at positions 477 to 747 of the family's 1478-position model. The record is from RNAcentral.
CAGCACCUCAAGUGGUCAGGAUGAUUAUUGGGCCUAAAGCAUCCGUAGCCGGUUCUACAAGUCUUCCGUUAAAUCCACCUGCUUAACAGAUGGGCCGCGGAGGAUACUAUAAGACUAGGAGGCAGGAGAGGCAAGCGGUACUCAGUGGGUAGGGGUAAAAUCCGUUGAUCCAUUGAAGACCACCAGUGGCGAAGGCGGCUUGCUAGAAUGCGCUCGACGGUGAGGGAUGAAAGCUGGGGGAGCAAACCGGAUUAGAUACCCGAGUAGUCC